UACGUAGGGGGCAAGCGUUGUCCGGAAUCAUUGGGCGUAAAGCGCGUGUAGGCGGCUUUGCAAGUCGGGUGUGAAAGCCCUCAGCUCAACUGAGGAAGUGCGCCCGAAACUGCAUGGCUUGAAUACCGGAGAGGAUGGCGGAAUUCCCCAAGUAGAGGUGAAAUUCGUAGAUAUGGGGAGGGACACCGGUGGCGAAGGCGGCCAUCUGGACGGCUAUUGACGCUGAGACGCGAAAGCAUGGGGAGCAAACAGG
RNAcentral lists this ribosomal RNA (253 nucleotides) under uncultured bacterium. Its description in RNAcentral is "partial 16S ribosomal RNA". It matches the Rfam family "Bacterial small subunit ribosomal RNA", at positions 524 to 776 of the family's 1533-position model. The record is from RNAcentral.